Molecule: ribosomal RNA, 301 nt
Filed under: uncultured bacterium
Lineage: Bacteria
Description: partial 16S ribosomal RNA
Rfam family: Bacterial small subunit ribosomal RNA
Source: RNAcentral
CAGCAGCCACGGUAAUACGUAGGUGGCAAGCGUUAUCCGGAAUUAUUGGGCGUAAAGCGCGCGUAGGCGGUUUUUUAAGUCUGAUGUGAAAGCCCACGGCUCAACCGUGGAGGGUCAUUGGAAACUGGAAAACUUGAGUGCAGAAGAGGAAAGUGGAAUUCCAUGUGUAGCGGUGAAAUGCGUAGAGAUGUGGAGGAACACCAGUGGCGAAGGCGACUCUCUGGUCUGUAACUGACGCUGAGGAGCGAAAGCGUGGGGAGCGAACAGGAUUAGAUACCCCCGUAGUCCCUGUCUCUUAUAC